AUGUUUUUUUAUGUUAAUGUCAUUGUUCCGCUAGCUAAACAGACCUUGUUGAUCCUCUUAGAUGUGCCUCUUUUCAUCCCUCUCUGUGAAAAGAAGGUGGGAGAUCACAUAAUAAACAUAGUGCUGGUGAGUAGCAUCGGUCCCAACAUUUUUCCCACCGCUUCUUAUUCUAACAAUGGGCAGUUUCUCUGCAGUUGCACAAAUAUUAUCCUAGGCUUUAUCCCGACGAUUCCAUUGACUAUGUCUCUUCCAUGUACUUCGUCAACUCCCCCCCUCCUCCGUACUGAGAAGCUUCAAAGUACAAGGAUCGUGUAA
Molecule: ribosomal RNA, 315 nt
Filed under: Triticum aestivum (bread wheat)
Lineage: Eukaryota; Viridiplantae; Streptophyta; Magnoliopsida; Poales; Poaceae
Description: partial small subunit ribosomal RNA
Source: RNAcentral